UGGGUUGUGGCUCAGUGGUAGAGCACUUGCCUAGCAUGUAUGAGGCACUGGGUUCAAUUCUCAGCACUACAU
RNAcentral lists this transfer RNA (72 nucleotides) under Urocitellus parryii (Arctic ground squirrel). RNAcentral's name for it is "Spermophilus parryii (Arctic ground squirrel) tRNA". It matches the Rfam family "tRNA". From Rfam's summary of the family: Transfer RNA (tRNA) molecules are approximately 80 nucleotides in length. Their secondary structure includes four short double-helical elements and three loops (D, anti-codon, and T loops). The record is from Rfam by way of RNAcentral. Lineage: Eukaryota; Metazoa; Chordata; Mammalia; Rodentia; Sciuridae. RNAcentral also lists the same sequence under 2 other names.